RNAcentral lists this ribosomal RNA (253 nucleotides) under uncultured bacterium. RNAcentral describes it as "partial 16S ribosomal RNA". It matches the Rfam family "Bacterial small subunit ribosomal RNA", at positions 524 to 776 of the family's 1533-position model. The record is from RNAcentral.
UACGUAGGGUGCAAGCGUUGUCCGGAAUUAUUGGGCGUAAAGAGCUCGUAGGCGGUUUGUCGCGUCUGCUGUGAAAACUCGGGGCUUAACUCCGGGCCUGCAGUGGGUACGGGCAGACUAGAGUGCGGUAGGGGAGACUGGAAUUCCUGGUGUAGCGGUGAAAUGCGCAGAUAUCAGGAGGAACACCGGUGGCGAAGGCGGCUACCUGGACAUCAACUGACGCUGAGACGCGAAAGCGUGGGGAGCAAACAGG